This is a long non-coding RNA of Triticum aestivum (bread wheat), 2129 nucleotides long. RefSeq lists it as uncharacterized. Lineage: Eukaryota; Viridiplantae; Streptophyta; Magnoliopsida; Poales; Poaceae. The transcript has 3 exons. The record is from RefSeq and is a predicted model, not a curated record.
UACAGGGUGGAAAUCUCUCGGUCUCUCCCGACUAUACAGUGAAAAAAGGCAAACAGAGAGGCGACGCGAGAGGGUGUUUUCCGGCGGGCCGCCGUCGGGCUCUGGGAGGUGGGGAAGACAGCGGACGGCUGCGUCGCGGUUGUAGAUAAUGGUGUUUUAGGAUUUGAUUCUGGCGUUGGCGGGCAGGCGGGGCGACUUUGAUGAAGUGGAAUAAGGUUCCUCCGGCUCCUUCCCGUCGCGGCGGUGCUCCCUCUGAUGGCGUUGCGGCUCUAGGGAGGUUGGUCUCUCUCUGAUCCGGGCAUCCGGCGAGGUUUGGUUGGUGAAGGGGUUGUACAGAAGUUGGGAUUUGUGGAGAGGGAUUCCCAGAUCCGGUCACCACGGACGACCGGCAGCUGCGGGCGAAGUUGUUGGAGUUGCUGCUGCACUCCGGUGUAGGCUGGCGCUGGUGGCAGCUUCAAGGACUGGGGAGCAGGGGUACCCCCGACUUAUGCACCGAACCCGCCCCUGGUUCUGUCUUAUGCGGCAGGACUUGUAUGCGGCCCACAAAGCCAUGGAUUGGCGAUAGUGCUCCUCGCACCGGCGGGUGCAGAGAUCAGCAUGCCUUGGUGAAGAAUUAAGAUGAGCUGGGCUCAGCGGCAGGAUCUCCAUGAGUAGGCCAUGGAGGAUAUCUGCCGGUGGCGACCUACUCGUUCCCGAUGGCUCCGGUGCCCCAAGGGUAGGUGUUCUUUCCUAUCGUGCUGCAUAUGGAAGCUCCGUUCUCGAAAUCUCAUGUCUGUAGGAUGUUGCCGUCAGGGUGGAUUUAGCUGGGGUGGUUUUAGCCUACAUUGUUAGCGUAAUAAUUAUGAUACUUUUGUUCAAGCAUACCAGCAAACGCACACACUUUUGAUUUAUUUUCCUAAGCUGCUGACUUUUCUUCUGAUAUUUCACCUGACCAAGUGAAAAUGGAUCUUUCCCUAGCUGUCUAUUCCUACAUUUUUUUGCAAAUAUGUGCCCGUUAUGCUGUCAUGUAAAUUCCACAACACAUCUGUAUGCGUGUAUCCUUCUUAUAGUUUCUAUUACCCAAUUAUAGUCAUGCUUGACAGCGUGAGGGCUGAGACUAACAAUUCUUUUCGCCUCUAUGCCCCUUAUUUCAGUGCAUUGUGCUAUUGUAUACUACUAUUAUAAUGGCAUGUGCAUUUAGUAAAAUCCCUUGAUUAUGGCAACAUGUAAAAAAUUUAAAUGUUUCCUGAGUGCAGAAUGUGGUAUAGAUUCGUGCAAGUUCUAAAACCUGCAAGUACUGAAUUACAUAAUAAUUGUGCAAGGCAGUAAAAAAGAAGAAGAUGAUGAUGAUUCAGUUAUCAAGAGGAUGUCUGAACUCUAAACCUGAAGGACAGGAAAUCAAACUUGAGGAGGAUAAUGGAAGAGAAGAAGAAGCAGACAUUAGGAUAAUGAAACAGAAGGAGUAGAUAAUGAGGAUGGUACUGAAAGAGAAGACGAGAUGCACCUUGGCUAAGUAAAGAGCUAGACCUAAAAUUGCCCAUAAAGGGAAUCAGGUCCCUUUCUCUAUCGGUGACAUCUUAGCUGCCGUCGAUUAGGUGCAUAUUUCACGAGAUAAUCUCGUUCUAACAUGUCUCUAAUUUUGAUUUUUCCUGCGGAUUUCAAAAUAUAGAAGGCAGCUUCGAAGAGGGGUCACUGGCGAGCAACAGAAAUAAUUCCUGGAGCAGGUUUCAGUGAAGACUACUGAUUUAGAAUUGGCUGUACGUUCAUGAACAAAUUUCUGUUGCUGAAAUAAGUCAUGGUGCAGACUUCAGUGAGGACUACUGAUCUAGAAGUCGUAUGUUCAUGAACAAUUUUUUGUUGCUCUGACUGAACGGUUUGUCUCUGUAAUUCUUAUCUGUUUGGGUGGUGCCCAGCUGCCAAUAGAAGACAAGCUGUCUUCUUGCCGAACAACGCCACAAUUGCAUAGUUCCAUGUUAUUUAGGAUUGUCUCUGUCGCAUACGACUUGGAGUUACAAGAGGUCCGGUACUAAUUUUGUGUAUGUAUGUACAUGUGCACUCGCCUGCUCUAUAUACACAUGAUUUGGAAGCAUCUUUUGCUGUACAUUUUGUUUCUUUGCUCGGUACAAAAUAUUGCAAGUGUUGUUCAUUUU